RNAcentral lists this ribosomal RNA (301 nucleotides) under uncultured bacterium. RNAcentral describes it as "partial 16S ribosomal RNA". It matches the Rfam family "Bacterial small subunit ribosomal RNA", at positions 509 to 809 of the family's 1533-position model. The record is from RNAcentral.
CAGCAGCCGCGGGAAAACGUAGGGUGCAAGCGUUAAUCGGAAUUACUGGGCGUAAAGCGUGCGCAGGCGGUUUUGCAAGUCAGAUGUGAAAUCCCCGGGCUCAACCUGGGAACUGCAUUUGAAACUACAAGGCUAGAGUGUGUCAGAGGUGGGUAGAAUUCCACGUGUAGCAGUGAAAUGCGUAGAGAUGUGGAGGAAUACCGAUGGCGAAGGCAGCCCCCUGGGAUAACACUGACGCUCAUGCACGAAAGCGUGGGGAGCAAACAGGAUUAGAUACCCCCGUAGUCCCUGUCUCUUAUAA